Molecule: ribosomal RNA, 411 nt
Filed under: uncultured Corynebacterium sp.
Lineage: Bacteria; Bacillati; Actinomycetota; Actinomycetes; Mycobacteriales; Corynebacteriaceae
Description: bacterial SSU rRNA
Rfam family: Bacterial small subunit ribosomal RNA
Source: RNAcentral
UGGGGAAUAUUGCACAAUGGGCGGAAGCCUGAUGCAGCGACGCCGCGUGGGGGAUGACGGCCUUCGGGUUGUAAACUCCUUUCGACAGGGACGAAGCUUUUUGUGACGGUACCUGUAUAAGAAGCACCGGCUAACUACGUGCCAGCAGCCGCGGUAAUACGUAGGGUGCGAGCGUUGUCCGGAAUUACUGGGCGUAAAGAGCUCGUAGGUGGUUUGUCGCGUCGUCUGUGAAAUUCCGGGGCUUAACUCCGGGCGUGCAGGCGAUACGGGCAUAACUUGAGUGCUGUAGGGGAGACUGGAAUUCCUGGUGUAGCGGUGAAAUGCGCAGAUAUCAGGAGGAACACCGAUGGCGAAGGCAGGUCUCUGGGCAGUUACUGACGCUGAGGAGCGAAAGCAUGGGUAGCGAACAGG